This 764-nucleotide ribosomal RNA is filed under the name uncultured organism. Its description in RNAcentral is "SSU rRNA". It matches the Rfam family "Bacterial small subunit ribosomal RNA", at positions 719 to 1484 of the family's 1533-position model. The record is from RNAcentral.
AGGCGGCUUUCUGGACUGCAACUGACACUGAGGCACGAAAGCGUGGGUAGCAAACAGGAUUAGAUACCCUGGUAGUCCACGCUGUAAACGAUGAGUACUAGGUGUCGGGGGUUACCCCCCUCGGUGNCCGCAGCUAACGCAUUAAGUACUCCGCCUGGGGAGUACGCACGCAAGUGUGAAACUCAAAGGAAUUGACGGGGACCCGCACAAGUAGCGGAGCAUGUGGUUUAAUUCGAAGCAACGCGAAGAACCUUACCUAAGCUUGACAUCCCUCGGACAGGUGUUUAAUCGCACCCUUCCUUCGGGACUGAGGUGACAGGUGGUGCAUGGUUGUCGUCAGCUCGUGUCGUGAGAUGUUGGGUUAAGUCCCGCAACGAGCGCAACCCUUGUCUUUAGUUGCCAGCAUUCAGUUGGGCACUCUAGAGAGACUGCCAGGGAUAACCUGGAGGAAGGUGGGGAUGACGUCAAAUCAUCAUGCCCCUUAUGCUUAGGGCUACACACGUGCUACAAUGGGUGGUACAGAGGGUUGCCAAACCGUGAGGUGGAGCCAAUCCCUUAAAGCCAUUCUCAGUUCGGAUUGUAGGCUGAAACUCGCCUACAUGAAGCUGGAGUUACUAGUAAUCGCAGAUCAGAAUGCUGCGGUGAAUGCGUUCCCGGGUCUUGUACACACCGCCCGUCACACCACGGGAGUCGGAAACACCCGAAGCCGAUUAUCCAACCGCAAGGAGGAAGUCGUCGAAGGUGGCGUCGAUAACUGGGGUGAA